Non-coding RNA from Dipodomys ordii (Ord's kangaroo rat), 70 nucleotides. Lineage: Eukaryota; Metazoa; Chordata; Mammalia; Rodentia; Heteromyidae. The record is from Rfam.
GGGAAGGUGGCUCAGUGGUAGAGCACUUGCCUUGCAUGCAUGAGGCCCUGGGUUCAAUUCCUCCGCACCA